UUUCGGUUGAAAGGUUAAAGUGGAUGAGUACGUUUAAGUUGCGGAACAGUAGAAAAUAUUAUUUAAUAUAUAAAACUUAACAUUUAAAAUGGCAGCUGCUAAAGAACUCUUGCAGAUGGAUCUUUACGGUUUGCUCGGGCUUGAAGAAACAGCGUCCGAAAAAGAGGUGAAAAAAGCAUACAGGCAGAAAGCUCUAACAUGCCAUCCAGACAAGAACCCGGACAACCCCAAAGCAGCGGAGCUCUUCCACCAGCUGUCCCAAGCACUAGAGGUGCUGACAGAUGCAGCAGCUCGGGCUGCUUAUGACAAGAUCCGCAAGGCGAAGAAGCAGGCUGAGGAAAGGACCCAGAGGCUGGAUGAAAAGAGAAAGAAGAUCAAGUUAGAUUUGGAGGCGCGCGAGAGGGAGGCUGAGGCCCAGAGUGCUGAGGAGGUCAAAAUCACUCGCACAUUAGAAGAGGAGAUUGGCCGUCUGAGAGAGGAAGGGUCCCGGCAGCUGCAGGAGGAGCAGAGGCUGAUUAAGGAGCAGAUCCAGAGGGAAAGAGAGAUGAAACAGUAUGGAGUCUCCACACCACCUGGUGCUUUGGGGGGAGAGCGAUCGGACAGCAACAUGACCCCAAAAUUAAAACUAAAGUGGAAGAGUAAGAAAGAUGAUGAAACCAAUGGCGGCUACUCUCACGAAUUCCUGCUCAGCCUUCUGCAGAAGUAUGGUGAUGUGUUGAAUGUGCUGGUAUCGAGAAAGAAGAAAGGGAGUGCUGUGGUUGAGUUUGCCACUUUCAAAGGCGCUGAACUGGCAUAUAGGAAUGAAAUGGGCCUGACAGGAAACCCGCUGAAGAUUUCCUGGCUGGAGGGACGGCCGGAGGCUACAGCAACAGAAUCGUACAGGCAGUCUGCGGAUGGCUCUUUCAGGCCAGUCCAGGGUUCCUUGAGCAGCGAGCGGGACUACGAGAGCGUGGUGCUGAUGCGAAUGAGGCAGGCAGCUGAGAGGCAGCGACUGAUCGAGGAGAUGCAAAGGGAGGAUGAGGAGGAAAAGCUGGCUGCCCAGGCUUAGCCCUUGUCUAUUUACACUUUGACCCCUUGAGCCGCAAGAACUCUUGACUGUUUUCCUGGCUUUAGUUUUUAAAAGCCAGAUUUUUUAUUUGUUUUAAACUUACUUUUUUGAAGGUGUAAUUUAAAAGCUGUUGGAUAAAUAAACAGAAAAAUGGUGACAUUCACAGGACUGAAAGUGGCAGUGAAGUCUGCCAACAUUCAACAGCCCCUUCGUAAGACCACACUGAGACUCACCGGCUCCAUCAGAAGAGGAUAAAGGCAUUUUCCAGAAGGGCUGAUCUAAUUAUAGGACAAUUAUAGAAACACCCCAUGCUGACUGACGAUGAUGACCAACUGCCAUAAUGGACAAGACGUAUGUUGCAGGACUGGAAAAUCAAGCUACCGUACAGCAACAAUGCCAUUAUUUUCUAUAAACUGACUUAGAAUUCAUAUUUAAUCUAUAAUGCCCAGGAGGGUGGGCAGCCACUGGCACUUGGACCCCCAGAGGUUUUCUUCCCGUCCCUUGACCUUCAGUUCAGAGUUUUUUGUUCCUUUCCUCCGUGGCCAGUAGGCAUAAUUAUAGCUUUAAUAAAUGCAUUGAUAAUUUGUUAUGCUAGACUGUAGUCAACUGUCGUCUUUGUUGAAUUGGACAGAAUUGGAUUUCAGUUAAUAAAUUUGACAUUGUUUGUUCAUUUUAUU
RNA transcript from Scleropages formosus (Asian bonytongue), 1725 nucleotides. It is a transcript of the gene named DnaJ (Hsp40) homolog, subfamily C, member 17, with no coding region annotated. The transcript has 14 exons. The record is from RefSeq and is a predicted model, not a curated record. Lineage: Eukaryota; Metazoa; Chordata; Actinopteri; Osteoglossiformes; Osteoglossidae.